This 439-nucleotide ribosomal RNA is filed under the name uncultured bacterium. RNAcentral describes it as "partial 16S ribosomal RNA". It matches the Rfam family "Bacterial small subunit ribosomal RNA", at positions 339 to 795 of the family's 1533-position model. The record is from RNAcentral.
CUACGGGGGGCAGCAGUAAGGAAUAUUGGACAAUGGGGGCAACCCUGAUCCAGCCAUGCCGCGUGAGUGAAGAAGGCCUUCGGGUUGUAAAGCUCUUUUAGAUGUGACGAUGAUGACGGUAACAUCAGAAAAAGCCCCGGCUAACUUCGUGCCAGCAGCCGCGGUAAUACGAAGGGGGCGAGCGUUGUUCGGAAUCACUGGGCUUAAAGCGUACGUAGGCGGAUUGACAAGUCAGAAGUGAAAGCCCAGGGCUUAACCCUGGAACUGCUUUUGAAACUGUCAGUCUGGAAUCCGGUAGAGGUUGGCGGAACUCCGAGUGUAGAGGUGAAAUUCGCAGAUAUUCGGAAGAACACCAGUGGCGAAGGCGGCCAACUGGACCGGUAUUGACGCUGAGGUACGAAAGCGUGGGUAGCAAACAGGAUUAGAUACCCCUGUAGUC